Molecule: ribosomal RNA, 253 nt
Filed under: uncultured prokaryote
Description: partial 16S ribosomal RNA
Rfam family: Bacterial small subunit ribosomal RNA
Source: RNAcentral
ACAGAGGGGGCAAGCGUUGCUCGGAAUCACUGGGCGUAAAGGGCGCGUAGGCGGGAUGGCAAGUCAGUCGUGAAAUCUCUCGGCUCAACCGAGAAACGUCGGCUGAUACUGCCGUUCUUGAGGGAUGCAGAGGAGACUGGAAUUCCCGGUGUAGCGGUGAAAUGUGUAGAGAUCGGGAGGAACACCGGUGGCGAAGGCGGUCUUCUGGACGGUGACUGACGCUGAGGCGCGAAAGCGUGGGGAGCAAACGGGA